RNAcentral lists this long non-coding RNA (601 nucleotides) under Homo sapiens (human). RNAcentral describes it as "non-protein coding lnc-TPRA1-5:2". The record is from RNAcentral. Lineage: Eukaryota; Metazoa; Chordata; Mammalia; Primates; Hominidae.
CAGCCCCUACUCCAUCUCCUUACACUCUGCUUCUCUUUUAGCUUCAGGUGGGCCUCCUACAGAGCCAGGCUGCUCUGGUGUGGACCGUGAAGACCCUGUAGACCCAGUCCAACCGGCAAAACCCACUGCUUAUGUGAAACCCAUGAGACGGGAGCCCCCAGCUCGCGCACAGCCAGCUCCUCCUGCAGGAAGAGGCCAGCGUGGGGGAGGAAGCUGGCGGGCAGGUCGAGGCCGCGGCAGUGGGGCUGGGCUUCUCAGGGCCCUGGGCGAGAGAGUGGGGCCAGGCAUGUACCUAGUCCAUCUGAAUGACCAUGGAGAGCUAGGCUACCAGGGGCAACUGGAAGCCAGGCAGACCCCAGCCUUCUCUUUUACUGAAGCAGCUCUUAUGCCUGGAAUUGUGCAGGAAGGCCCCGGCCCCCAUGCAGCCCAGCCUGAGGUGGGGCUUCAGGAGCCACCUCCUGCUCCUGGGCCUGUGGCUGUGGCCAGGCAGACCAUGUUGGCCCCCUCUCCCUCCCUCAGUUUCAGGCCUCCGGGUGGCUCAUCUACUUUGUGCAUCGUGCAGACCUCUAAUAGCACCAUCGUGCAGAGUGUCCCAGUGUUC